Molecule: ribosomal RNA, 498 nt
Filed under: uncultured bacterium
Lineage: Bacteria
Description: bacterial SSU rRNA
Rfam family: Bacterial small subunit ribosomal RNA
Source: RNAcentral
GAUCAUGGCUCAGAUUGAACGCUGGCGGCAUGCCUUACACAUGCAAGUCGAACGGCAGCGGGCCUUCGGGUGCCGGCGAGUGGCGAACGGGUGAGUAAUGCAUCGGAACGUGCCAUUGAGUGGGGGAUAACGUAGACGAAAGUUGCGCUAAUACCGCAUAUUCUGUGAGCAGGAAAGCGAGGGGGACCGCAAGGCCUUGCGCUCUUUGAGCGGCCGAUGUCAGAUUAGCUAGUUGGUGAGGUAAGGCUUACCAAGGCGACGAUCUGUAGGCGGGUCUGAGAGGAUGAUCCGCCACACUGGAACUGAGACACGGUCCAGACUCCUACGGGAGGCAGCAGGUGGGGUAAUUUGGACAAUGGGGCAACCCUGAUCCAGCCAUGCCGCGUGAGUGAAGAAGGCCUUCGGGUUGUAAAGCUCUUUCGGCCGGGAAGAAAUCGCAUGGGUGAAUACCCUGUGUGGAUGACGGUACCGGAACAAGAAGCACCGGCUAACUACGUG